Molecule: long non-coding RNA, 1299 nt
Filed under: Equus caballus (horse)
Lineage: Eukaryota; Metazoa; Chordata; Mammalia; Perissodactyla; Equidae
Description: lncRNA (ENSECAG00000053150.1)
Source: RNAcentral
CGCUGCUGGAGAAGCAGGGAGGGGUGUCUGCCCUGCCAGAGACCGUCCAACCGGGAGGCGGCUCAGGAAACCACCCCAAUGCUACGCGUGCCCACCCCUGCUGGCCUGGGUCAGCGCACGCAGACCAAGCCCAUCUUUUACAGUUUCCCCACGCAAACUGGCUGAAGGGGCUACCCUUGACUAGUCCCUUUGCACAUUCUCUACAAUUGGUUUGAGUCCAGGGCAGACCCCUGACUUUUCUCCUACUGCCCACCAGCUGUGUGCAGAGGGCAAGCAAAAGAACUUAAAUAUUAGCUCAGGAAAACAAACAGGCCCGUAAAGCUCCCCGCCCUCCCUCGACCUCUUCAGUCAAACCCGACACGGUGUCUGUGAGGUCAUCUCCUACGGUGCACACGCCUGCACCGCUUUCCAUUGCAGUGCCUGAGGCCUGGAGUGGGAAGCACUCUAGCCAGAGGGCAAAUGCCCUUGCCGUGGAGACUGUUCUAAAUUUUCGAGUCUAAAACAGAGCUGCUCAAACUUCAGGAUACCUUCGAACCCGCGGGAGGGCUUGUUAAAACGCUGAUCGCUGGGCCUCACCCCCAGAGUGCCUGAUUCAGUAGGUCUGGGGUAAGACCCAACAAUUUGCAUUUUUCACAAGUUCCCAGGGGCUGCUGCUGCUGCUGGUCCCGGGACUACACCUUGAGAAGCACUGCUCAAAAGUGUAAGGGGCACUGGGCUCCUGGGUUUGAUCCUAAAAUGGCGCUGCUGGCUAAUGGCAGCGUUCAGGGGUUGCUGGAGAAUAAACAGGAGCUAUAGCGUUGGAGCCAAAGCUAGCUGAGGCCUCUGGGUUCAACCAGCCUGCUUUACUGAGCAUCUGCUUGUCACCGUGCUGCAGACGUUGUCCACACGCGGCCCAUAGACUCUUGGCUUUACUACUUCAGUGCACAAAGGUAGCCUGACUUCCAGAUGCCAGCACCUGUGUUUCUUUGCUUGGGGGCUUUUUCCAGCUGCUGGAGCGCACCCAGCCUGCAGGCAGUGCAGCUGCAAGGCCCGGAAUUGAAGUCUCCCCAGGAACAUCCUCAACCAAGACUGUUAGUGGUUGGGGGAUAAAGACCCCAGCUGCCUCCUCCCAGGUGUGGUAACUUGGAGGCGUGCUCUCGACCAUCUCUCAGAGGCCGUCACAGGACUGAGCCUCAGUUGCCCACAGUGGUAACUGGCUUGAAAACACACCCUAUCUUUCUGCCCUCCCUCUCCUGGCUCACGUCCUCACUCCCCUGGUCAGAUUUUCCUGGGAUCACCCCCUAAAUAAACGACUUGCAC